Molecule: long non-coding RNA, 277 nt
Organism: Pseudoliparis swirei
Lineage: Eukaryota; Metazoa; Chordata; Actinopteri; Perciformes; Liparidae
Exons: 3
Source: RefSeq, a predicted model, not a curated record
GCUGAACAUGCCUCUGUAUAUUAAUGUGUGAUCUCACGUCUUCUUCAGGCACAUCGGUCACGUUGGCUGGGAUCCAAACACAGGUUUUGAUCUCAACAACUUGGACCCUGAGCUGAAGAACCUGUUCGACAUGUGCGGCAUCUCAGAGGCUCAGCUGAAGGACAGAGAGACGUCCAAGGUCAUCUACGACUUCAUCGAGAAGAAGGGAGGAGUGGAGGCGGUGAAGAAGGAGCUGAGGAGGCAGGCGCCUCCUCCUCCUCCUCCUCCUCCUCCUUCA